RNAcentral lists this long non-coding RNA (557 nucleotides) under Anas platyrhynchos platyrhynchos (common mallard). RNAcentral's name for it is "lncRNA (ENSAPLG00000027118.1)". The record is from RNAcentral. Lineage: Eukaryota; Metazoa; Chordata; Aves; Anseriformes; Anatidae.
CUCGGCUUCAUGAGUAGAGAAUUGUUUCCAGGAACUCCUUUUCCCCAGCAGGUCUGCCAGAUCCCACUUUGCCCGCGCUAAUUAGACAGGCAGUCUGCCUUAAAUCAUGCUGGGUAGGGUUCAGUGCUGAGCUUGAAUUACCAGAGGACUCUUACUUUAUCAACAAGAGUAUAUUGGGCUGGAACCUGCAAUCCAAGUGCCCUGGCGGUCUAUAUUUCACUUAUUUCCAGAAGAAAAUCUCAAGUUCAGAGCAGCAAGUCAGACAAGGGUUUGUCAUCUUUGAGAUUUCCCCCUUAAGAAGUGGGAUUAGAUUUCCAAGAGACUUUUGCACCUACAAAUAUGUACAGACUAAGAACUGACAGAAGGCACUACUUCCAGAUGCAUUUCCUCAGUCUUGCAGAGUUCAUAUAAUAUGAUCUGUGUGAGAAACAUCAUUUGGAAAAAAGGGAAUUUAUAUGUUUUCAUGUGUCAAUGCUGCCUAAUUAUUAGAAGAUGAGGCUGAAUCCUCCAGAAAAAAAAGACCAUAAAAUUAGAGCUUCCAAUGAGGUAUAAAAACU